GGAGGGAUGGGUGAGUGGCUGAAACCACCAGUUUGCUAAACUGACGUACCGGUAACGGUACCGCGGGUUCGAAUCCCGCUCCCUCCG
This 87-nucleotide transfer RNA is filed under the name Jiulongibacter sediminis. RNAcentral describes it as "Leadbetterella sp. JN14-9 tRNA". It matches the Rfam family "tRNA". Rfam says of the family: Transfer RNA (tRNA) molecules are approximately 80 nucleotides in length. The record is from Rfam by way of RNAcentral. Lineage: Bacteria; Pseudomonadati; Bacteroidota; Cytophagia; Cytophagales; Leadbetterellaceae.